This 60-nucleotide transfer RNA is filed under the name Stenamma megamanni. Its description in RNAcentral is "tRNA-Ser". Lineage: Eukaryota; Metazoa; Arthropoda; Insecta; Hymenoptera; Formicidae. The record is from RNAcentral.
GAAGUAACUUAAAAUGAACUUCUAAUUCAUUAUUUGUGAUUAACUCAAUCACUUACUUCA